GUCCACGCCCUAAACGAUGUACACUAGUUGUUGGGGUGCUAGUCAUCUCAGUAAUGCAGCUAACGCAUUAAGUGUACCGCCUGGGGAGUACGGUCGCAAGAUUAAAACUCAAAGGAAUAGACGGGGACCCGCACAAGCGGUGGAGCAUGUGGUUUAAUUCGAGGAUACGCGAAGAACCUUACCUGGGCUUGAUAUCCUAAGAACCUUAUAGAGAUAUGAGGGUGCUAGCUUGCUAGAACUUAGAGACAGGUGCUGCACGGCUGUCGUCAGCUCGUGUCGUGAGAUGUUGGGUUAAGUCCCGCAACGAGCGCAACCCACGUAUUUAGUUGCUAACGGUUCGGCCGAGCACUCUAAAUAGACUGCCUUCGUAAGGAGGAGGAAGGUGUGGACGACGUCAAGUCAUCAUGGCCCUUAUGCCCAGGGCGACACACGUGCUACAAUGGCAUAUACAAUGAGACGCAAUACCGCGAGGUGGAGCAAACCUAUAAAAUAUGUCCCAGUUCGGAUUGUUCUCUGCAACUCGAGAGCAUGAAGCCGGAAUCGCUAGUAAUCGUAGAUCAGCCAUGCUACGGUGAAUACGUUCCCGGGUCUUGUACUCACCGCCCGUCACACCAUGGGAGUUGAUUUCACUCGAAGCCGGAAUACUAAACUAGUUACCGUCCACAGUGGAAUCAGCGACUGGGGUGAAGUCGUAACAAG
This 699-nucleotide ribosomal RNA is filed under the name Campylobacter jejuni. RNAcentral's name for it is "bacterial SSU rRNA". It matches the Rfam family "Bacterial small subunit ribosomal RNA", at positions 793 to 1495 of the family's 1533-position model. The record is from RNAcentral. Lineage: Bacteria; Pseudomonadati; Campylobacterota; Epsilonproteobacteria; Campylobacterales; Campylobacteraceae.